RNAcentral lists this ribosomal RNA (431 nucleotides) under uncultured bacterium. RNAcentral describes it as "partial 16S ribosomal RNA". It matches the Rfam family "Bacterial small subunit ribosomal RNA", at positions 338 to 795 of the family's 1533-position model. The record is from RNAcentral.
CCUACGGGUGGCAGCAGUGGGGAAUCUUGCGCAAUGCGGGAAACCGUGACGCAGCGACGCCGCGUGGGGGAAGAAGGCCUUCGGGUUGUAAACCUCUUUCAGGGGGGACGCGGUACCUCCAGAAGAAGCCCCGGCUAACUACGUGCCAGCAGCCGCGGUAAUACGUAGGGGGCAAGCGUUGUCCGGAUUUAUUGGGCGUAAAGAGCGUGUAGGCGGCUUGGUAGUCCGCUGUGAAAACUCGAGGCUCAACCUCGAGAUGUCGGCGGAAACCACUUGGCUAGAGUCCGGAAGAGGAGAGUGGAAUUCCCGGUGUAGCGGUGAAAUGCGCAGAUAUCGGGAAGAACACCUAUGGCGAAGGCAGCUCUCUGGGACGGACUGACGCUGAGACGCGAAAGCGUGGGGAGCGAACAGGAUUAGAUACCCCGGUAGUC